Molecule: non-coding RNA, 26 nt
Filed under: Mus musculus (house mouse)
Lineage: Eukaryota; Metazoa; Chordata; Mammalia; Rodentia; Muridae
Source: RNAcentral
UACCAGGCUGAACAGGCGAUUCUCGG